AUGGCGGCAUCGGUGGCCUGCGCCUUCUUCUUCGACGCCGAGCCGGUGGGCGAGCCCGGCAUGCCGGCGCUGGACGCGUGCGCGCUCUGCGCCAAGCCGCUGGCGCGUGACAGCGACGUCUUCAUGUACAGAGGGGACACGCCCUUCUGCAGCGAGGAGUGCCGCCACGAGCAGAUGCACCUCGACGCCGUCUCCGCCAGGCAGGCCGCCCGGAGGGUGCAGCGGUUCUCCGCGGAGGCGGAGUGCCACCGUGGGCAGCGGCAGUCCAGGAAGGUGUCCAUCGCCAGCUAG
Molecule: ribosomal RNA, 291 nt
Filed under: Triticum aestivum (bread wheat)
Lineage: Eukaryota; Viridiplantae; Streptophyta; Magnoliopsida; Poales; Poaceae
Description: partial small subunit ribosomal RNA
Source: RNAcentral